RNAcentral lists this long non-coding RNA (2812 nucleotides) under Citrus x clementina. Its description in RNAcentral is "Citrus clementina (C. clementina) long non-coding RNA (CCLE_LNC000300)". Lineage: Eukaryota; Viridiplantae; Streptophyta; Magnoliopsida; Sapindales; Rutaceae. The record is from RNAcentral.
UUUGUGGUACAAGAUUAGUUUUAGGGUUCUGCAAAUCCUUAACCGUAUUUGGCUUGACGUGAGCGAUUUCCCUAAAGCAACCACCACUUUCAUAAUUGUGUGUGACUACAGCUGCAGCAACGACGCCGGAUUAAAUUUUCGAAGACGAUUGUGGUGACUUGUGGAUUUGUUGUGGUCUUAUUGAAGAAAUGGAAAGGAUUGUAUAAACCAUCAUUAAGAUUAGUGAAAUUUUAAUGUGAGAUUUGUGACGCGAAUCAUUUGUAGCUGAUAAUAUAGUUGGUGCGAAAUUAGAUUUCAUAUGGAUAAUGGGAAGAUGUGAGAGUGCUGGGCGUAAAUUUUUAAAUUAAAUUUCUGGAAAUUUUAUGAACAAUGUAGUAAUAUAAAGGAGUUUUUCACUAUUAUUUUUAUGUUAAUAAACACGUGUAUUGAAAUUGUAAGAGAGGGAUUUUAGCAACAGAAAUUCAGGCUAGUGGCAGCUGAACCUGAAAUAAUUGAGUUGAAUAUUGUUGCUGCGAAUAAUGUGGUGAGAAGUCGGAUUUCGUAUAGAGAAGUAGAAAAUAGUGGAGGAGUAAAAGGGGAAAAAUAUUGAAAAUGAUUUAGGGAUUAUACUCUAGCAGCUGAACACGACCCAUUUAAAGCUGUAUGAUUGAUGAGAAACUUGUGGUUUGUUCUGUGUAUUUGCCAUAUUUCCUUUUCUUUAUCUUCAGGCUGACUACGCCUUCGACUGCAACUUUGGAGAAGCAUAUGCCAUAUUUCCUUUUCUUUAUCUUCAGGCUGACUAUGCCUUCGGCUGUGACUUUGUAGAAGCAUCUACGAAGUCACAAGUUAGAUGUGAAUCACACAGAAAUUUUGAAAAUGAUAUCAUAAUUUCUUGUGCUUGUAUAAUAACAAUGGGACUAAUUAGUUUAGAUGUUUUGUAUGUUUUUAAGUUAAUGUAAUAAAAAUUGAAUGUAUGUCUGGCAAUUCAACCGUAAGGGGGAAGUUAGUAAGUUGUACGAUGAACAUGUGUGGAAAGUACAAACAGGAAAAGUGAAAUUGCAGCAAGUAAUAAAAUGAAGUUAAGUGCAAGCAUUUAGAUGGUGAUACAGGGGAAAUGGUACAUGUUUACAGCUCGUUGUACAUAUGUUUCAUUGACUGUAUGCUAAUCUGACAAGCAUUUAACUGUAUGCUAAUGUAACAAAUAGCUGAUCAGUUAACAAUUGCCCAUGUCAUAAUAGUUUCAGUACACUCCAUAUUUGGCUGAAACUCUUAUUGCUGGACAUGACUUCUUGCGAGUACUAUCAAGCAUCAGUGAUGAUGACUCCAUAAGUAAGUUUGUCACACAGUAAUUCAUAAUUGCGUUUUCACUUACUCUUUUUGCUAUUUGAAAUUGCAGGCCUGUAAAGGUGACAAUGUCCCAACAUGCAUGAUCCCUAAUGCUGCCAUGUGCUCGCCCUUCCACAUCUGCCCAUGUUAUCUUUCUUCCUAUGAUUAAAGCCGAAGCUUAUCUAUUUCUCACAUUCAAACCAAUGCUGUCAAAGGAACUCCACCAACUAGGAUACUUAUACACAUUCUAUAUGCUCUAUAUUUACUGUUAUUUCACAAUAUAACCUACUUCAACUGUGUUUUGAUAAGCAUUCAUUACUUUAUGGGACAUGUUUCAAUGUUAUGGAUGUACGACAAUUAUGUGUUUUGAACUCCUGUUGUAUAUUUCUUAUGUCGACAUUGCAGCUUGGAUUUUUGAAUCCACCUUUAUACGUAUGCAGUUCCAGUAUCUUCUCACUGUUACAGUUAUGUUUGCCGUCUAUUAAUUAAACCUGCUUGUCCAUCUCUUCCCUUGCAUUUACUUGUGCAUCACCAUUUACUUCAUUUACACCCAUUACCAAAUCAAACUGGAUUUGGAAGCAUCUCUUCAUUUGGUUAACUAUUCUUCUUUAUAUCCAUUUUAUGCCAACUAAGGCUAUUAUUUAAUCAACUAACAAAUUACAAAUAUCUUGGCCAUAUGAUCAUUCUCCUUUUAUUCAACCACCCAAUGUUUAGAGACAUUUAAGUAUUUCAAGCCCAGCCAUUGGUGAUACUAAUGUAACAACACAUGCGUUGAUUUUUCAGCUACCAUCAAUUUCAUAUGUGCAGUUUGCCGAACUCAUUUUCCCAUUUUGAUACAUUUUCGUACUUGCUCCAUGCUUUAUUCCAAUUCUGCUUGUCAUUCAAAUCCUAACCAAAAUCAUUUUAAAUCAAUUACCAAUCCAUAAUUUUUGUUUCUCUCCACUCCACAAUUUGUUGUCUUACCUAUCUAAGUUACUGUUAAUGCAGCUAUAUUUUGCUUCCCACUUAAUUCAUUUAACUCUUUCCUAUUUCUUUUAAGAGGAACAAAUAAAAUACUUCAUAUCCUUUCACUAUUACAACUGCUCAAUAUUUUAUGCCUCCUACAACAAUGAAACUGUUACUAAUCUACAUAUUAUUGUCCCUCGACAAAGUAUUUGCUUAUACAUUUAUUUGUGCCAGCUAACAUGUUUAUUGUUAUGGAAACCAACAUCUUCUUGUUUUCUUAAACAAUAUAUUAGCAGUGUCAACAGUUCCAGUCUAAUUACCUGCACUCUCGGUUUGGUUCAUCUGCAACGUGGCGUUUUCAGCAUUGCACAUUCUUCACCCUUUUCAUCUAACGAUGACUUCACUACAAGACGAAAUGUGGGGGCACGGUGCCCUGGGGGCUGAUAAUUAAUGGAAGAUUGUCAGUUUUCCUUUUAUUAAAAUUAAUAUAUACUACUCACUCCCUACUAUUUUUAUAAUAACUAAUAGCCUCUUUGGCAGCAUAAUUCUGUAGUAUUACCUU